This is a long non-coding RNA of Oncorhynchus tshawytscha (Chinook salmon), 1942 nucleotides long. NCBI's taxonomy places the organism in Eukaryota, Metazoa, Chordata, Actinopteri, Salmoniformes, Salmonidae. The record is from Ensembl.
GGCAAACGAUGCUCAUAUAGGCUAUAUCAGGUGUCUCAUUUAGGUAGAUUUAGGACCACCCGUUACAAAUAAUAGAACUGAAUAUUCUGUUAUAACAGCAUUUUCAAUUAGACAUGACUACUAUAAAAACUAACACACACAAAAAUAUACAUUUUGUCUUCAUCAAUACUCAUCUCAAAUCCCAAUAUUCCUAAUAAAUGAGACAAUUCUUGCACAAUAAAGCCAUUAUCUAAUGCUCUCCUAUCCAGCAAGGAACCUGUGAAUUGUAUUAGUUGUGAGAACAGACAUUUUCUAUUUUUACAAUAGAAAAGACAAUGAAAACAUUACCACAUUCAGAUCCAUGAGGAAUAAUCAAGCAGUCCUCCAGAAACCCAUAUAAAUAAUUGGGAAAACAAGUGAUGCUAGUGAAUACAUGGUAGUGGAUGUACCACCGCCUGUAGUAAAUGUUUGCUGCCAGUCAAAAGAUACCCUGUGUUAAAAAGGUGGAUUUUGUGGUGCUCAUUGCCAGUUAUAAACUGUGGCUCAACUCUCAAAGAAGUCUAAGAAACUGGACAUUAUUGUGGCUUGCAGCAGAAACGUUUUUGGGACUUAAGGAUUUUAUACUGAACAAAAAAUAUAAACGCAACAUGCAACAAUUGCAAAGAUUUCACUGAGUUACAGUACAUAGAAGGAAAUCAGUCAAUUGAAAUAAAUUCAUUAGGCCCUAAUCUAUGGAUUUCACAUGACCCGGCAGGGGCACAGCCAAUUGGGAGCCAGGCCCACCGCCAAUUGGGAGCCAGGCCCACCCACUGGAGAGCCAGGCCCAGCCAAUCAGAAUGAGUUUUCCCCCACAAAAGGGCUUUAUUACAGACAGAAAUUACAACACCCCCCCUUUCUCAGACAAUCCCCCGGCAAGAAGCCAGAUGUGGAGGUCCUGGUCUGGCAUUGUUAAACGUGGUCUAUGGUUGAGGCCGGUUGGAUGUACUGACAAAUUCUCUAAAACAACGUCGGAGGUGGCUUAUGGUAGAGAAAUUAACAGUAAAUUCUCUGGCAACAGCUCUGUUUGGACAUUCCUGCCGUGUCAGCAUGCCAAUUGCACACUCCCUCAAAACUUGAGACAUCUGUGGCAUUGUGUUGUGUGACAAAACUGCGCAUUUUAGAGUGGCCUUUUAUUGUUCCCAGCACAAAGUGCACCAGUUUAAUGAGCAUGCUGUUUAAUCAGCUUCUUGAUAUGCCACACCUGUCAGGUGGAUUGAUUAUCUUUGCAAAGGAGAAAUGCUCACUAACAGAGACUUGAAACACAUUUGCACACAAAAUUUGAGAGCAAUAAGCUUUUUGUGUCUAUGAAACAUUUCAGGAAUCUUUUAUUUCAGCUCAUGAAACAUGGGACCAACACUUUAGAUGUUGCGUUUAUAUUUUUGUUUAGUUUACACAUCUGAAGCACUUGGAAGGGGUAUUGGUGCCGGAAGACAGCCCGCCCUCCCAGGCUCCCCCUGAGCAUGUGUAGGGAUCAGAUUAGUUUAUUUUUUUAACAGUGAAGUUGUUUGUUAGUUUUUGUUGGUAGUUCCAUUUUUUGGGGGAAACUCCGUUUCCAUCCCACACAGUAGGUGGCGGGAUGCACAUUAAAUUGUGCAAUCGCCAAUAUACUGAAGACGAACCCACUGAAAUGUGACCAGUCACUCGAGAGGGAUGAACACUCACUCUUGCUCACACUUAGCAUUUUGAUGAGUGUAUACAGUCACACUCUAGUUGGGAGCAAGGUAUAUACCCUCCCCAUGUCUAGUCUCUCUCAGCCCCAACUCUGUGCACAGGCUCUUUCAACAUCAGCAAUGGUUUUGGGUGUGUCAGAGGACAGGAUCAAGGGGUUUAUCUCGUCUUGAAUCACAACGUCGUCCUCUAUUCUCACCCCAAGUCCACGGAAUCGAUCUGGAACCUGGUCAUCGUCCUCACAUAUGUACAGCCC